RNAcentral lists this transfer RNA (73 nucleotides) under Blastopirellula marina. RNAcentral's name for it is "tRNA-Lys". It matches the Rfam family "tRNA". From Rfam's summary of the family: Transfer RNA (tRNA) molecules are approximately 80 nucleotides in length. Their secondary structure includes four short double-helical elements and three loops (D, anti-codon, and T loops). The record is from RNAcentral. Lineage: Bacteria; Pseudomonadati; Planctomycetota; Planctomycetia; Pirellulales; Pirellulaceae.
GAGACUGUAGCUCAGUCGGUAGAGCAACGGACUUUUAAUCCGUAGGUCCUGGGUUCGAGCCCCAGCAGUCUCA